UACGUAGGGUGCGAGCGUUGUCCGGAAUUAUUGGGCGUAAAGAGCUUGUAGGCGGUUUGUCGCGUCUGCCGUGAAAAUCCGAGGCUCAACCUCGGACUUGCGGUGGGUACGGGCAGACUAGAGUGUGGUAGGGGAGACUGGAAUUCCUGGUGUAGCGGUGAAAUACGCAGAUAUCAGGAGGAACACCGAUGGCGAAGGCAGGUCUCUGGGCCACUACUGACGCUGAGAAGCGAAAGCAUGGGGAGCGAACAGG
RNAcentral lists this ribosomal RNA (253 nucleotides) under uncultured bacterium. Its description in RNAcentral is "partial 16S ribosomal RNA". It matches the Rfam family "Bacterial small subunit ribosomal RNA", at positions 524 to 776 of the family's 1533-position model. The record is from RNAcentral.